UCUCUCACGCAUGCAUACCAUGGAUUGGAUCUCACAACCUCCUCCCAUGGGUGUCGGCUUCAAGCCGAAGCUGUAGACCCUGGAUCCUCUUCUUGUCACAGGAGAGUAAUUACCCUCCCGUAAUGCUGUUUAGCCGACAUAUGGCAUGCAGGUUACCGGCAACCUCUUCUUCGAUUAGCCUUUCUUCUUCUCUCUCUUUCUCAUUUUUAUUUCAAUCUCUUCUCAUUUUUAUAAUUUUUUAUUCAAUAUUCAUGAUCUUCUCUCUCUAUUCAUGGUAGUCUUCUUCGUCUUCUCAUAUGGGUCGGACUCCUCGACCAUUUCUUCCCUGUAAUCCCGCCAUUCCCUGUAACCCCACCUUGAUCCCUUCUGUUCCGCCCUCUAGUCUCCACCCACCCUCACCUGGCCACUCCAUCCCUGUAACCCCCUGCCUCCGCCCCGCCAUUACUUGCUAUCCCGCCCUCGCCCAAGCCCACUCUCUCUUUUCCUAGCUGCUACCCCACUGUUCUGCAGCUGGACCGACUUGUUUCCCACCUCUCGUGGUCUGCAGCAGUGGAGAACGAUCGCCGUAGAAAAAGUUAUGGAGGUGGAAAUUGACCACUAUGAGAUGCUGGGGUUACCGUCGUGGGAAGAGGGUGCAAAGCUCAUUGAGAGAUCGAUCUCAAAGGCUUAAAAAACUAAAGCCCUUCAAGUCCACCCAGACAAACGUCCAAAUGAUCCUAAUGCCCACUCUGAGUUUCAAAAGCUCAAGUCAUCCUUUGACAUCCUUAAAGAUGAAAAAACCCGAAAGCUCUUUGAUGAUCUCCGCAUCAAACAUGAGCAACUUCGCAAGUUAAGGUCUGAUUUUGAAAAGAUAAAGAGAGAUAUGCUUUUGCUCCGGAUGCUCCUGUUACUAAAAGAAAUAAAGAGUAUUGUGAAGAAACUUAAAGAAGAAAUUGCCAGAAUUCGUGCUAUGCAUGCUUAGAACACCACAGCUCUAGCAACAGCCUCAGGUUGGAAAAGUUGGAAAGAGGGCAGAGAAUGUUGGGGGUAGUGAAAGCAUGAACAAGGAGAAGGUGUUGAAGGCUUCUUGGGAGGGUUAAGCUAGGGUGAAGAUUAUAUUGCUCUAUGGUUGAAGGAUCUGCUUGAAAAUUCUGGAGAUGUUGAAGAUGUUGUAAUUCUGUCAAAGGAAUCAAAGAAGAGAAGGUCUAGAUGCUCUGGUGUGUUUACGACAUAUCACAAUAGUUUGUUUAGUUUAGUUGAGAUUUUACAAUUUGAUAUAACAUCUGUACAGAUGGAACUUUUGGGUACUGUUUAUGAGGCAUUUGAGAAUUCCAUAUUGGAGAAGCUUCAAAAGGUUUGAACUUUCAUGAUUGUAAGAGACAUUCCCAUUGCUCUCUCUGCUCUCAUUGAUAACCUUGAUUGUGGCAAAUGGUUCUCGAAAGCAGAUGUGAUGUGUGAUUAUCCUUUUCAUCUAAGAGGUCUGGUAGCUUUUUCUCCUUUGUUUA
Long non-coding RNA from Macadamia integrifolia, 1484 nucleotides. RefSeq lists it as uncharacterized. The record is from RefSeq and is a predicted model, not a curated record. The transcript has 2 exons. Lineage: Eukaryota; Viridiplantae; Streptophyta; Magnoliopsida; Proteales; Proteaceae.